GGAGAAGUACCCAAGAGGCUGAAGGGGCGUCCUUGCUAAGGAUGUAGACGGUUUACGCCGUGCGAGGGUUCGAACCCCUCCUUCUCCGCCA
This 91-nucleotide transfer RNA is filed under the name Fastidiosipila sanguinis. Its description in RNAcentral is "tRNA-Ser". It matches the Rfam family "tRNA". Rfam says of the family: Transfer RNA (tRNA) molecules are approximately 80 nucleotides in length. Their secondary structure includes four short double-helical elements and three loops (D, anti-codon, and T loops). Further hydrogen bonds mediate the characteristic L-shaped molecular structure. tRNAs have two regions of fundamental functional importance: the anti-codon, which is responsible for specific mRNA codon recognition, and the 3' end, to which the tRNAs corresponding amino acid is attached (by aminoacyl-tRNA synthetases). tRNAs cope with the degeneracy of the genetic code in two manners: having more than one tRNA (with a specific anti-codon) for a particular amino acid; and 'wobble' base-pairing, i.e. permitting non-standard base-pairing at the 3rd anti-codon position. Lineage: Bacteria; Bacillati; Bacillota; Clostridia; Eubacteriales; Oscillospiraceae. The record is from RNAcentral.